RNAcentral lists this ribosomal RNA (434 nucleotides) under uncultured bacterium. RNAcentral's name for it is "partial 16S ribosomal RNA". It matches the Rfam family "Bacterial small subunit ribosomal RNA", at positions 29 to 507 of the family's 1533-position model. The record is from RNAcentral.
AACGAACGCUGGCGGCAGGCCUAACACAUGCAAGUCGAACGAACCUUUCGGGGUUAGUGGCGGACGGGUGAGUAACACGUGGGAACGUGCCUUUAGGUUCGGAAUAACUCAGGGAAACUUGUGCUAAUACCGAAUGUGCCCUUCGGGGGAAAGAUUUAUCGCCUUUAGAUCGGCCCGCGUCUGAUUAGCUAGUUGGUUGAGGUAAUGGCUCACCAAGGCGACGAUCAGUAGCUGGUCUGAGAGGAUGAUCAGCCACAUUGGGACUGAGACACGGCCCAAACUCCUACGGGAGGCAGCAGUGGGGAAUCUUGCGCAAUGGGCGAAAGCCUGACGCAGCCAUGCCGCGUGAAUGAUGAAGGUCUUAGGAUUGUAAAAUUCUUUCACCGGGGACGAUAAUGACGGUACCCGGAGAAGAAGCCCCGGCUAACUUCGUG